GAUGAACGCUGGCGGUAUGCUUUACACAUGCAAGUCGAACGGGAGCUUUUAACUCUAGUGGCGGACGGGUGAGUAACACGUAAGAAUUUGCCUUUAGGAGGGGGACAACAGCUGGAAACGGCUGCUAAUACCCCAUAUGCUUUCGAGUGAAAUGGAUUUCCGACUGAAGAGAAGCUUGCGGCUGAUUAGCUUGUUGGUGAGGUAAUGGCUCACCAAGGCGACGAUCAGUAUCUGGUUUGAGAGGACGAUCAGACACACUGGAACUGAGACACGGUCCAGACUCCUACGGGAGGCAGCAGUGGGGAAUUUUCCGCAAUGGGCGAAAGCCUGACGGAGCAAUACCGCGUGAGGGAUGAAGGCCUAUGGGUUGUAAACCUCUUUUUUCAGGGAGGAACAAAAUGACGUGUACCUGAAGAAUAAGCAUCAGCUAACUCCGUGCCAGCAGCCGCGGUAAAAC
Molecule: ribosomal RNA, 457 nt
Filed under: uncultured bacterium
Lineage: Bacteria
Description: bacterial SSU rRNA
Rfam family: Bacterial small subunit ribosomal RNA
Source: RNAcentral